RNAcentral lists this ribosomal RNA (203 nucleotides) under Staphylococcus aureus. RNAcentral's name for it is "partial 16S ribosomal RNA". It matches the Rfam family "Bacterial small subunit ribosomal RNA", at positions 1 to 197 of the family's 1533-position model. The record is from RNAcentral. Lineage: Bacteria; Bacillati; Bacillota; Bacilli; Caryophanales; Staphylococcaceae.
UUUUAUGGAGAGUUUGAUCCUGGCUCAGGAUGAACGCUGGCGGCGUGCCUAAUACAUGCAAGUCGAGCGAACGGACGAGAAGCUUGCUUCUCUGAUGUUAGCGGCGGACGGGUGAGUAACACGUGGAUAACCUACCUAUAAGACUGGGAUAACUUCGGGAAACCGGAGCUAAUACCGGAUAAUAUUUUGAACCGCAUGGUUCA